RNAcentral lists this long non-coding RNA (338 nucleotides) under Numida meleagris (helmeted guineafowl). Its description in RNAcentral is "lncRNA (ENSNMEG00000005893.1)". The record is from RNAcentral. Lineage: Eukaryota; Metazoa; Chordata; Aves; Galliformes; Numididae.
CACCAAAUUCAAAAAUAUUUGCUAAAGGUUUUCACCGCUGCCAUUUAUUUCCAUGUAAGCGCACCAGCCGUGGCUACACAACAAAAUGCCGUUGUUUUGGCACCAGAACAGCUUUGCAGCCCAGGCCCGGAGGACAUCUGGAGUCUUCUGGGUCACGGUCCUCGUAACAGACAGAAAAGGAGGGGUUUGUGGGAUGAGGCGCAGGCAUGAAAGACACUGGUGGGAGACAAAAACGACAACUGGAUUACAGCUGCCUGCUGGGCAAAUUGCUGGCUGAAAGGACGUCGCUGCAUAUACAGAUGCCUCAGCAUCUACAGUCGCUGUAUGCUACAAAAGGG